AAGAAGGCUUAUCGGAAAUGAUAUACAGUAUCAUAAAGCAGAAUAGCAAGGAAUUGGAGGCGAAGAAACCUAUGCAAUGCGAACUACAAAUUCUUCUCAUCCCUGAUGUAAAACUGGUUUUGCCUGGAAAGCUGCGUUAGCUAUAACUAUGAAUAAACCCAAUGGAACUUUGCGGCAAAAAUGUGCAGAUUUAUCAUGCCAUCAAUGAUGAUAUUUUAGCUGAUAUUGCCAGAGCACAACGAAUAGAACAACGUGAUGACUACGAGUAUUCCAAGGAACCACGAAGUAUACCUAACUUGAAUGCUACCUGUAUAGUCCACUCCAUAGAUAUAUAGAUAUAUAUAUUUACAUAUAGUCUCCUGUUUAGUUAUAUAGUAGUAUGUAUAGCCUAUCUGUAAGCCUAGUAACUUGUCUUGGUAGUCAACUACGCUCGACUUAUCUAAGAAUCUGUCAAAAAUCAAUUGAAAAAGUAUUUCCAUACGUUGAAAAUUAGCUUUACGUCUUUAAUGUAUUAAAAACUAGCUUGUAAAUACAUAUUGUACUUAUA
Drosophila mojavensis is the source of this 547-nucleotide long non-coding RNA. RefSeq lists it as uncharacterized. The record is from RefSeq and is a predicted model, not a curated record. NCBI's taxonomy places the organism in Eukaryota, Metazoa, Arthropoda, Insecta, Diptera, Drosophilidae. The transcript has 3 exons.